This 436-nucleotide ribosomal RNA is filed under the name uncultured bacterium. Its description in RNAcentral is "bacterial SSU rRNA". It matches the Rfam family "Bacterial small subunit ribosomal RNA", at positions 1 to 489 of the family's 1533-position model. The record is from RNAcentral.
UAGAGUUUGAUCGUGGCUCAGAACGAACGCUGGCGGCAUGCCUAACACAUGCAAGUCGAACGAGGCCUUAGGGCAUAGUGGCGCACGGGUGAGUAACGCGUGGGAAUGUGCCCUUUGGUUCGGAAUAACUCAGGGAAACUUGUGCUAAUACCGGAUAAGCCCUUCGGGACAAAGAUUUAUCGCCCAAGGAUGGGCCCGCGUCGGAUUAGCUAGUUGGUGAGGUAAUGGCUCACCAAGGCGACGAUCAGUAGCUGGUCUGAGAGGAUGAUCAGCCACACUGGGACUGAGACACGGCCCAGACUCCUACGGGAGGCAGCAGUGGGGAAUAUUGGACAAUGGGCGAAAGCCUGAUCCAGCCAUGCCGCGUGAGUGAUGAAGGCCUUAGGGUUGUAAAGCUCUUUUGCCCGGGAAGAUAAUGACGGUACCGGCAGAAGAA